This 257-nucleotide ribosomal RNA is filed under the name uncultured Pseudomonas sp. RNAcentral describes it as "partial 16S ribosomal RNA". It matches the Rfam family "Bacterial small subunit ribosomal RNA", at positions 96 to 355 of the family's 1533-position model. The record is from RNAcentral. Lineage: Bacteria; Pseudomonadati; Pseudomonadota; Gammaproteobacteria; Pseudomonadales; Pseudomonadaceae.
CGGCGGACGGGUGAGUAAUGCCUAGGAAUCUGCCUGGUAGUGGGGGACAACGUUUCGAAAGGAACGCUAAUACCGCAUACGUCCUACGGGAGAAAGCAGGGGACCUUCGGGCCUUGCGCUAUCAGAUGAGCCUAGGUCGGAUUAGCUAGUUGGUGAGGUAAUGGCUCACCAAGGCGACGAUCCGUAACUGGUCUGAGAGGAUGAUCAGUCACACUGGAACUGAGACACGGUCCAGACUCCUACGGGAGGCAGCAGUC